CAAUAGCGUAUAUUUAAGUUGCUGCAGUUAAAAAGCUCGUAGUUGGAUUUCGGGUGGGAAUGGCCGGUCCGCCGUUUCGGUGUGCACUUGCUACGCCCACCGUGCUGCCGGGGACGUGCUCUUGAGUUCACGCUCGGGACACGGAGUCGGCGAGGUUACUUUGAGUAAAUUAGAGUGUUCAAAGCAGGCCUACGCUCUGAAUACAUUAGCAUGGAAUAACACGAUAGGACUCUGGCCUAUCUUGUUGGUCUGUAGGACCGGAGUAAUGAUUAAGAAGGACAGUCGGGGGCAUUCGUAUUUCAUUGCCAGAGGUGAAACUCUUGGAUUUAUGAAAGACGAACUACUGCGAAAGCAUUUGCCAAGGAUGUUUUCAUUAA
This 377-nucleotide ribosomal RNA is filed under the name uncultured eukaryote. RNAcentral's name for it is "partial 18S ribosomal RNA". It matches the Rfam family "Eukaryotic small subunit ribosomal RNA", at positions 592 to 976 of the family's 1831-position model. The record is from RNAcentral.